Vombatus ursinus (common wombat) is the source of this 1857-nucleotide long non-coding RNA. Lineage: Eukaryota; Metazoa; Chordata; Mammalia; Diprotodontia; Vombatidae. The record is from Ensembl.
AUGGAUAAGUUGAUGUUGCUCCUGGGGCUGCUUGGCAGCCUCCAGGUAACGUCCGGGGCCCAUAUUCCCCUACUCCGAACCACCAACUCCACACCACCCUAUGUGUAUUGGACAGUCAUCCCAGGGUUUCCCCAUGCGGCACCAGCGACAUGGGUGGGUGACCCGGUGCCCCUGAGGUUGGCGGGAUCAGGCUCCCUGGUCCUGGGCGGCCAUAGCAGCCUUGGCCCAGUGGUCGCCAGGGUACUUAAUAAGACAGUUACCUGGGAAUCAAAGCAUCUCCCCAUAUGCCUGACCAAGGCUGUCUCCGACCCGUGGUGUGCCCAGGUACAGAACAUGACGAUCAGAGAGACGCCACACGGGCCCCACUCCAACCUUGGUCAGGGGGAUUUCUUACAUAUGUGGGCCAUUGCAGCUAAGAAUAGAUCGGCAGCUUUCCAGCGCUUGCUGCAGGCUGCUGGGAGCAAUUGCUCUGGGUCCAAUAAGUCCAGGCCGGAUGUCCCAUGCAACAGGAAGGACUGGCUUAAUGCCACCGGCUCACUCUUUGAGAACAGUGACCCUCCAUCCUCCCCAUUACCCCCUUGUCAUCCCACUCCUAACAUGUUUGAUGUUAUGCAAGUAUGUUCUACAGGGCAUCUGGUGUGGGGACCCGAGUUUAACACAACAUCGAAAACUGAGGUGUACUUCAUGGAUGGAUUCCCCGGACCCUACUUUCCUGCCCCCGUACCACACGUGCUGCAUAACGCCACCCUGCAGACGCAACUCCACCUGUGGAAGGCCGCCGCUGCUUUCGGAGAGGUCAUCCACAUGACGGACAAUUCCGCCCCUUUAGCGGAUAAUGCCACGAUCAACCGAGCGUGGUUUGACCGCCUCUUUAAAGAAGGAUACACGUGCACCGAACACCUUCACAAGGGACACUGCAACAACUUCACAAUUCAUACACAAACUGUCCGAAAUAUGGACACGUUCCUCCUCUGUGAGAAUGCCACCAUAACUAACACCUCCCUUGGGCUUAACGUGACUUGCCCAAAUCGGGGGAAGCUCACCAACACACUCAUGUCCAUCAACAUAACUAAUGAGACCCGGGUGUUCGUGCUCACGACACCCCCUCUGACCUUCUUGCCGGUAGGAACGGACAAGCCUUUUGCCGACUCGGAUUUCUUUCGGGCUGUCCUGAACCGGGGUAAGAGGGGCUUUGAAGUGACUGCUGUGGACUUCAUUGGGCUAGUGGCCAGUCUGAUAGAACAAGUGGAGAUUAGCACCCUCUACAAGCGAGUAGGCCUAGUCGAAGAUAAUCUUAGGGAUUUUAUGCAGCUCACAACCAAGGCCUGGAUUGCCCAACAAGACAUUAAUAAAUUGGUGACCAUAGAAUUGUCGGCCCUUACAUCGGCCGUGCAAGCCUUAGCCACCCUCAUACAGGUUAACUCCGUGCUAGAGGGCCUCCCUUGCCAUCAUGUACUACCCAGGCCAAUGUGCAUGACGGCCGCCGUGCACAACGCAUCCAGGGAGCUGGAUGAGGCAAUCCGGACCUUGAAUGAGCAUAGCAAUAUGUCUGACUAUCUCAGACGCCUAGAAGAUAUAGUACUACAGAUAAAGAAUGAGACAGACCAAUAUAAGCAGCAGAUACAAAAGGACCAUGGCAUUCUCCCCGAGUGGUUUAACCAGCUUGAAUUGUCUAAUUGGCUUAAUUAUGUACUGAGUAUGGGAAGCAUGGUUUUCUUUCUCUUGGUCAUGUGUAUAUGCCUCCCCUGCUUGCUAUCUUACGUGGUACGGCUUUGGCGUAUGGUCUUAGAGCAAGUAAAAGCGGAUAUAUUCCUGCGUAAACAAAAAGGGGGAGUUGUUAGGGGCGGUCGGCCCUAG